Molecule: long non-coding RNA, 444 nt
Filed under: Struthio camelus australis
Lineage: Eukaryota; Metazoa; Chordata; Aves; Struthioniformes; Struthionidae
Description: lncRNA (ENSSCUG00000011475.1)
Source: RNAcentral
CAAAACUUUCUGUAUGCUUACAAUUGGCUAGUUAUUUUUAGGUUGCAAAGAGGAUUUCUGCAGGAUCCCUUUUCAUUUCCAGAAAAUCUAAAGGACUGUUCUCUAGCUCUAGCAAGUCUCAGAAAACCUCUUCUCUGAAGAUGAAAGUCUCUCAUGCUUCAUUACCACAUUUUCACUGAAGUAGCACACAUCUCUCUAGGCAGAGAAAUGAUGGGGUGAUUGCUGAUUAGCUUGCUGGGGCUGAAAGCUUCUGAGCGGCAAUGUCAAUAGCUCUAGUGCAUGGCCGUAAUGAGACUCCGAGCUCUCCCCUGACCUCAGGCUCCUGAUCCAGCUGCUGACCCCUGCUACAAUCACACCUCCAUUUUCUUUUCUUUCUGUGGACCCGGCUGCCGAGGAGGACUGCGUUCCACUGAGGUGUCCGGAGGGAAGGAGAAGGGCCAGUCU